RNAcentral lists this non-coding RNA (159 nucleotides) under bovine gut metagenome. RNAcentral describes it as "Lysine riboswitch". It matches the Rfam family "Lysine riboswitch aptamer". From Rfam's summary of the family: Riboswitches are metabolite binding domains within certain messenger RNAs that serve as precision sensors for their corresponding targets. Allosteric rearrangement of mRNA structure is mediated by ligand binding, and this results in modulation of gene expression. This family includes riboswitches that sense lysine in a number of genes involved in lysine metabolism, including lysC. The record is from RNAcentral.
GAUAGAGGUUGCGGAGAUUAUAAGUAGGCUUCACAAGACGCAUGGGAAUGCAGAUGCUGAAAGGAUGAUCCGCCGAAGAGUGCAUGGACUUCCCGGUCCGGCAUUCUGGGACGCCGUAAUAAGAUGCGGCGUACUGUCACGCAAGUGGAGCGCUAUCAU